CUACGGGUUGCAGCAGUGAGGAGUAUUGCACAAUGGGGGGAACCCUGAUGCGGCAACGCCGCGUGGAGGAUGACGCAUUUCGGUGUGUAAACUCCUUUUAUAUGUCAAGAAAAUGACGGUAGCAUAUGAAUAAGCACCGGCUAACUCCGUGCCAGCAGCCGCGGUAAUACGGAGGGUGCAAGCGUUACUCGGAAUCACUGGGCGUAAAGGACGCGUAGGCGGGUUGGAAAGUCAGGUGUGAAAUCCUACAGCUUAACUGUAGAACUGCACUUGAAACUUCUAAUCUAGAGUAUGGGAGGGGGAGAUGGAAUUAGUGGUGUAGGAGUAUAAUCCGUAGAUAUCACUAGGAAUACCUAAAGCGAAGGCGAUCUCCUGGAACAUUACUGACGCUAAGGCGUGAAAGCGUGGGGAGCAAACAGGAUUAGAUACCCGGGUAGUC
This 439-nucleotide ribosomal RNA is filed under the name uncultured bacterium. Its description in RNAcentral is "partial 16S ribosomal RNA". It matches the Rfam family "Bacterial small subunit ribosomal RNA", at positions 339 to 795 of the family's 1533-position model. The record is from RNAcentral.